CUGUGCGCACGCCAGAGCGCCGCCGCCGUAAACCCCGCCGUUCCGAGCUCGGUUCCCGGCCGCCGUUGGAGCUCCGCCGUGUCCAUUGCCACGGUGAGCUUCGCCCCGACGUCCGCAACCCGGAACGCGCACCAAUUUCCCCUUCCCCUCCCUAUUUCGCUCUGCCCGCGCUCACCCGCCGUCCUCCGUGCAGCCGCCACCGUCGCCCCGGGCCGCCGUCGCGUCUCCGUCGCCACCGAGGAGUCCCCGGAGGCCGCUUUGAGGUACAAGCUCACUUUCAAGGCAUCAGAUGGAACUGCAGAAGCUGAAAUAUUUGCUUUCGACACUGUUGCGAGGACAAUUAUUGGGAAACCAUGUCCAAUGGUGAGUCGAAAGCUAACCUAUUCUCCAGCAAAGGAUAAACCUGAGACAAACCCUCUUGAUGCUAAUAAAAAUAGAGCUCCUGCAACAAUGCUUGAAUCACCUACAAAAAGGAUCAAACAAGACCCUAAGAAUCAACAAGAGUAG
Molecule: unclassified non-coding RNA, 507 nt
Filed under: Zea mays
Lineage: Eukaryota; Viridiplantae; Streptophyta; Magnoliopsida; Poales; Poaceae
Description: misc RNA Zm00001eb292940
Source: RNAcentral